Molecule: ribosomal RNA, 428 nt
Filed under: Chloroflexota bacterium
Lineage: Bacteria; Bacillati; Chloroflexota
Description: Chloroflexi bacterium partial 16S ribosomal RNA
Rfam family: Bacterial small subunit ribosomal RNA
Source: RNAcentral
UGGGGAAUAUUGCACAAUGGGCGCAAGCCUGAUGCAGCCAUGCCGCGUGUGUGAAGAAGGCCUUCGGGUUGUAAAGCACUUUCAGCGGGGAGGAAGGCGUUAAGGUUAAUAACCUUGGCGAUUGACGUUACCCGCAGAAGAAGCACCGGCUAACUCCGUGCCAGCAGCCGCGGUAAUACGGAGGGUGCAAGCGUUAAUCGGAAUUACUGGGCGUAAAGCGCACGCAGGCGGUCUGUCAAGUCGGAUGUGAAAUCCCCGGGCUCAACCUGGGAACUGCAUUCGAAACUGGCAGGCUAGAGUCUUGUAGAGGGGGGUAGAAUUCCAGGUGUAGCAGUGAAAUGCGUAGAGAUCUGGAGGAAUACCGGUGGCGAAGGCGGCCCCCUGGACAAAGACUGACGCUCAGGUGCGAAAGCGUGGGGAGCAAACAG